AUGGCCUCAAGCUCCACCGCCGCCGCCGCUGCACCAGCCCUCAUUCCCAUCGCCGAACGCCUCCAUCGCUCCAACUUCCUAGUGUGGCGUGCCCAAGCCAUUGCUGCCAUCCGCGGCGCUCAGCUCGUCGCCUACAUCAACCCCGACAGAGAAGAUCCGGCGCCCAAGCUCAUGGACAAGGAGGGCAAGCCAACAGAUGCGCCCAAUCCGGCGUACGAGAUCGCCAGGGCAGGAUUCCCAGGUUUUGAGUUUUCUGUUCAAUUCAAUCUCACCUCCUGUGAUGAUCCAGAUCGCCCACUGCACCACGACCUCAGCAGCACGGACUGCCAUCACGGAGAUGUUCAUCUCCCAAACCCAGGCGCACGUGGUGAACACGAGGAUCGCCCUGUCAAACACCAAGAAGGGCACCUCCACUAUCGCCGAGUAUAUCGGCCGCAUGAAGGCGCUCGGAGAUGA
Molecule: ribosomal RNA, 456 nt
Filed under: Triticum aestivum (bread wheat)
Lineage: Eukaryota; Viridiplantae; Streptophyta; Magnoliopsida; Poales; Poaceae
Description: partial small subunit ribosomal RNA
Source: RNAcentral